This is a long non-coding RNA of Salvia splendens (bonfire salvia), 1220 nucleotides long. RefSeq lists it as uncharacterized. The transcript has 3 exons. NCBI's taxonomy places the organism in Eukaryota, Viridiplantae, Streptophyta, Magnoliopsida, Lamiales, Lamiaceae. The record is from RefSeq and is a predicted model, not a curated record.
UUCGUGGACGGAUUUUUGGAGUAUAAAAAAAAUUUGGACGAAGAAACACUUGGAAUUAAAGUGCAAGGAAUUUAAUUUUUAUGAACUACAAUUGUUGAAAAGAAGAAAUGCCAAUUAAUCAAAUAGAAUGCUCCACACCUAAUUAUACACAGGAAAUGAAUAGCUAUGUCUUAGCUAUUCUAAAGGACAAAGUCUACAAGUUUGACUCUAGCUAGAAAUGGUAAUGGAAUCAAGGAAAGCUUGAGCAUGAGUCAUCUUCUCUUCCCUCUCGAUUUUAAAACACCCACAAAGCUCCAAGGAGAUGGCCAGCUGUACCUGCAAGAUUAAUCACAAAAAUGAGGUUAGGAGAUGAGCUCAUACAUAAAAGAGUAAGGUAAAUCCCCCAUAUCCAAGGCUGAAAGGUCAGCCUACAAUCAACCCCCAAGACUUGCACAAAUUAAGUAAAGAAGCAUUGUGCCAAGUCCGAAAAAGAGAUAGAGCUGGCAGCCCCAAAAUAGGAGUCUUUGCCCCCAAGAUUUGCAGGCACAAGAUGCCAAGGAGGACAGCCCAACAUUCAUCAAAUUAGUAAGAAUAGCAGUAUCUCGAAAGGGAGCUGAGGAGCAGCCCCGAAAUAGCAUAUCACUUUCCAAGGAUUACACCAAUUUAGUAGUGAAGCUUUAAACCCAAAACCAAAAAGAAGAGGAAAUCUUUAACCCAAAUUAGACACAAAAUGCCAAGAAGUUUUGGCUAUAAAUACCAGCCCAUCACCACCUCCUUCCUCACACCUCUCUCUAAAUUCACAAAUCACAAGAAGUGCGGCAAGAGAGGAAGGAGUGGCGGCGAGCUUAAGGGCAGUCCGGCGUUCGAAGGAGUCGUCGAGAAAGAGGGUUAUCUCCGCGAGCUAAGGUCGGAGUCAGGAAAAAUCAAAUUAAGGAGUUUUAAGCGAACGAGGUUGAGCAGUAAUGACGGCGGGCGGUGUUGAGCAUAGACGAUGAAGAUCCUUCGAUAGAAUAGUACUCGGAUGCGCCGUGUCUCCAUACACGACGUUAUCUGCUCUUGACUCUUCCGCUGCAAAGUAAAAGUCGAGUUUACAAUCUUUGUAUCAUGCACUCUGAUACAGAUAAAUUCGAGUUAUUUCAGUUCAAGUUUCAGUUGUGCCACAGUAUUCCCCUUUCUUCCCCGCUUCUUUCAUCCUCCCCUAGUCGCGAUCAACCGGGCUUUCUAUCCUUAGAAAGUGCGGU